GACGAACGCUGGCGGCGUGCUUAACACAUGCAAGUCGAACGGAAAGGCCCUGCUUUUGUGGGGUGCUCGAGUGGCGCACGGGUGAGUAACACGUGAGUAACCUGCCCUUGACUUUGGGAUAACUUCAGGAAACUGGGGCUCAUACCGGAUAGGAGCUCCUGCUGCAUGGUGGGGUUGGAAAGUUUCGGCGGUUGGGGAUGGACUCGCGGCUUAUCAGCUUGUUGGUGGGGUAGUGGCUUACCACGGCUUUGCCGGGUAGCCGGCCUGAGAGGGUGACCGGCCACAGUGGGACUGAGAUACGGCCCAGACGCCUACGGGAGGCAGCAGUGGGGAAUAUUGCACAAUGGGCGGAAGCCUGAUGCAGCAACGCCGCGUGCGGGAUGACGGCCUUCGGGUUGUAAACCGCUUUCGCCUGUGACGAAGCGUGAGUGACGGUAAUGGGUAAAGAAGCACCGGCUAACUACGUG
This 467-nucleotide ribosomal RNA is filed under the name uncultured bacterium. RNAcentral describes it as "partial 16S ribosomal RNA". It matches the Rfam family "Bacterial small subunit ribosomal RNA", at positions 28 to 507 of the family's 1533-position model. The record is from RNAcentral.